UACGUAGGUGGCAAGCGUUGUCCGGAUUUAUUGGGUUUAAAGGGUGCGUAGGCGGCUUUGUAAGUCAGUGGUGAAAUAUGGCAGCUCAACUGUCAAGGUGCCAUUGAUACUGCAGAGCUUGAGUACAGAUGAGGCAGGCGGAAUUGACGGUGUAGCGGUGAAAUGCUUAGAUAUCGUCAAGAACACCUAUAGCGAAGGCACUUUACUGGGCUAUUACUAACACUGAGAGACGAAAGCUAGGGUAGCAAAUGGG
RNAcentral lists this ribosomal RNA (253 nucleotides) under uncultured bacterium. Its description in RNAcentral is "partial 16S ribosomal RNA". It matches the Rfam family "Bacterial small subunit ribosomal RNA", at positions 524 to 776 of the family's 1533-position model. The record is from RNAcentral.